This 78-nucleotide ribosomal RNA is filed under the name Salmonella enterica subsp. enterica serovar Bovismorbificans. Its description in RNAcentral is "partial 23S ribosomal RNA". Lineage: Bacteria; Pseudomonadati; Pseudomonadota; Gammaproteobacteria; Enterobacterales; Enterobacteriaceae. The record is from RNAcentral.
GGCGGGUGUGUAAGCGCAGCGAUGCGUUGAGCUAACCGGUACUAAUGAACCGUGAGGCUUAACCUUACAACGCCGAAG